GACGAACGCUGGCGGCGUGCCUAAUACAUGCAAGUCGAGCGAAGUUUUUCUGGUGCUUGCACCGGAAAAACUUAGCGGCGAACGGGUGAGUAACACGUAAAGAACCUGCCUCAUAGACUGGGACAACUAUUGGAAACGAUAGCUAAUACCGGAUAAUAGCAUUAACUGCAUGGUUGAUGUUUAAAAGUUGGUUUUGCUAACACUAUGAGAUGGCUUUGCGGUGCAUUAGCUAGUUGGUGGGGUAAAGGCCUACCAGGUCGACGAUGCAUAGCCGACCUGAGAGGGUGAUCGGCCACACUGGGACUGAGACACGGCCCAGACUCCUACGGGAGGCAGCAGUAGGGAAUCUUCCGCAAUGGGCGAAAGCCUGACGGAGCAACGCCGCGUGAGUGAAGAAGGAUUUCGGUUCGUAAAGCUCUGUUGUUAGGGAAGAAUGAUUGUGUAGUAACUAUACACAGUAGAGACGGUACCUAACCAGAAAGCCACGGCUAACUACGUG
RNAcentral lists this ribosomal RNA (499 nucleotides) under uncultured bacterium. RNAcentral describes it as "partial 16S ribosomal RNA". It matches the Rfam family "Bacterial small subunit ribosomal RNA", at positions 28 to 507 of the family's 1533-position model. The record is from RNAcentral.